CGGAGGGUGCGAGCGUUGUCCGGAAUCACUGGGCGUGAAGGGCGCGUAGGCGGCGCGAGGAGUCAACGGUGAAAGCUCGGGGCUCAACCCCGAGUCGGCCGUCGAUACUCUCGUGCUGGAGCACUGUAGAGGCAGGUGGAAUUCCGGGUGUAGCGGUGGAAUGCGUAGAGAUCCGGAAGAACACCGGUGGCGAAGGCGGCCUGCUGGGCAGUAGCUGACGCUGAGGCGCGACAGCGUGGGGAGCAAACAGGAUUAGAUACCCUGGUAGUCCACGCCGUAAACGAUGGGCACUAGGUGCUUGGGGGAGCGACCCUCUGAGUGCCGGCGCUAACGCAUUAAGUGCCCCGCCUGGGGAGUACGGCCGCAAGGCUG
RNAcentral lists this ribosomal RNA (372 nucleotides) under uncultured organism. Its description in RNAcentral is "bacterial SSU rRNA". It matches the Rfam family "Bacterial small subunit ribosomal RNA", at positions 526 to 896 of the family's 1533-position model. The record is from RNAcentral.